CCUACGGGGGGGCAGCAGUGGGGAAUAUUGGACAAUGGGGGCAACCCUGAUCCAGCCAUGCCGCGUGUGUGAAGAAGGCCCUCGGGUUGUAAAGCACUUUCAGUGAGGAAGAACGCCUGGUGGUUAAUACCCAUCAGGAAAGACAUCACUCACAGAAGAAGCACCGGCUAACUCCGUGCCAGCAGCCGCGGUAAUACGGAGGGUGCGAGCGUUAAUCGGAAUUACUGGGCGUAAAGCGCGCGUAGGUGGCUUGAUAAGCCGGUUGUGAAAGCCCCGGGCUCAACCUGGGAACGGCAUCCGGAACUGUCAAGCUAGAGUGCAGGAGAGGAAGGUAGAAUUCCCGGUGUAGCGGUGAAAUGCGUAGAGAUCGGGAGGAAUACCAGUGGCGAAGGCGGCCUUCUGGACUGACACUGACACUGAGGUGCGAAAGCGUGGGUAGCAAACAGGAUUAGAUACCCUUGUAGUC
RNAcentral lists this ribosomal RNA (466 nucleotides) under Vreelandella stevensii. RNAcentral describes it as "partial 16S ribosomal RNA". It matches the Rfam family "Bacterial small subunit ribosomal RNA", at positions 338 to 795 of the family's 1533-position model. The record is from RNAcentral. Lineage: Bacteria; Pseudomonadati; Pseudomonadota; Gammaproteobacteria; Oceanospirillales; Halomonadaceae.